CACACUCCAAGCGAAGCUUGAUGUUGGGCGAAGCGGUACCCACCGCCCGCCUGGAACGCGUGGGCGCCCGCUGCCGGACCGCGAACGUAGCAAGACAACUCGUCAAGUCGUUCUGCGUAGUUGGUAGGGUCUGCCUUGAACGUCUUCUGACAUAUCAA
RNAcentral lists this unclassified non-coding RNA (158 nucleotides) under uncultured Melnikomyces. RNAcentral's name for it is "sequence contains ITS2". Lineage: Eukaryota; Fungi; Ascomycota; Eurotiomycetes; Chaetothyriales. The record is from RNAcentral.